GUACUCAAAACAUCAACAAAGAACCCAAUUUCUCAAUCUUUUUUUUUCAAAAUUGGGGAAAUCUUCAAAGCUGUGGCUAAAAGGAAUUAGAGAAAUGACUAUUGGUAUCUGAAUCUGGGUAUUCUUUGCAGGAAUCUUGUAAGAAUUAGAGAACGUGCAUCUAGUGACGGAGCUCUGCGAGGACGGCGAGCUUUUCGAUAGGAUUGUUGUGAGAGGACAUUACACGGAGCGUGCGGCUGCAGCCGUCGCGAGAACCAUCACCGAGACGCCGAGGUCGUGAUGUGGGUUACUCCAAUGGACUUAUGCACCGAGUUUUGAAACCGGAUUAUUUCUUGUUCGCUAACAAAAAGGGGUUGUGGUGCAUGCAUCGUAAUACUAGCAAAGUAUGAUCCAGUGUUAGACAAAGUCGAGGAGUAUUCAAUAAACUCUUGCCUGAUCCUUGCCAGCUUCUGACGACGAUAGUUACUAACCAUGGAGCGGCUAACAUCUCCUCCUCGUCUAAUGAUAGUCUCGGAUCUUGAUCAUACUAUGGUAAGCCUUCGCAAUUUACGGCUAUUAUCUUUCCCUUGGCUCAAAGCGAGGAAGGGCGGAUUAGAUUCAGGCUUAUUGUUUAGACACACAAGGCUCAAGAGAUUGGCUCAAAGCGAGGAAGGUUACUAGUUGACGGCUUCCUAUAUCUAAUCCGCAAGUUAACUUACACUGCUCUGUACAAAUCACCAUUAACGUUGCUCAUGCUUCUGUCUCUGUUUUUUGGAUUAUUUAAUCUCGACAAUGCUCUUCAGGGAUUCUCGUUGCCUGUAGUUCAGCUCACUGCUACUAACUUCAACUCGCAAGGUGUGACGCCAAUGGAGUUAUGCACCAAGUUUUUGAACCCGAUAAGUUCUUGUUCGCUAACAAAAAGGUGAAUUCUGCCUUAAAGGCCAUUGAUUUUGGCAACUCUGUGUUCUUCAAACCUGGUAACUAUGGUUAUGAUACAGUUCCAAAUGAUUUAUUGUCCAAGCAAAUAUGAACAUGUGGAUAUCCCAUCCUCUUGUCUACACUUUUUGCAGUUUUUCAGUGUAUCAUUUCAACAGUUUUAAAUUAUUUAGUGUCCAUUGGAAUUGUACUAUGUGGUUAUGAAUCAGUUCCAAAUGAUUUAGUGUCCAUAAAAACAUGAACAUAUGGAUAUCCUUU
Molecule: long non-coding RNA, 1173 nt
Organism: Eutrema salsugineum
Lineage: Eukaryota; Viridiplantae; Streptophyta; Magnoliopsida; Brassicales; Brassicaceae
Exons: 3
Source: RefSeq, a predicted model, not a curated record